GCAGUCGUACGCUUUUUCUUUCCCGGAGCUUGCUCCACCGAAAGAAAAGGAGUGGCGAACGGGUGAGUAACACGUGGGUAACCUGCCCAUCAGAAGGGGAUAACACUUGGAAACAGGUGCUAAUACCGUAUAACAAUCGAAACCGCAUGGUUUUGAUUUGAAAGGCGCUUUCGGGUGUCGCUGAUGGAUGGACCCGCGGUGCAUUAGCUAGUUGGUGAGGUAACGGCUCACCAAGGCCACGAUGCAUAGCCGACCUGAGAGGGUGAUCGGCCACAUUGGGACUGAGACACGGCCCAAACUCCUACGGGAGGCAGCAGUAGGGAAUCUUCGGCAAUGGACGAAAGUCUGACCGAGCAACGCCGCGUGAGUGAAGAAGGUUUUCGGAUCGUAAAACUCUGUUGUUAGAGAAGAACAAGGAUGAGAGUAACUGUUCAUCCCUUGACGGUAUCUAACCAGAAAGCCACGGCUAACUACGUGCCAGCAGCCGCGGUAAUACGUAGGUGGCAAGCGUUGUCCGGAUUUAUUGGGCGUAAAGCGAGCGCAGGCGGUUUCUUAAGUCUGAUGUGAAAGCCCCCGGCUCAACCGGGGAGGGUCAUUGGAAACUGGGAGACUUGAGUGCAGAAGAGGAGAGUGGAAUUCCAUGUGUAGCGGUGAAAUGCGUAGAUAUAUGGAGGAACACCAGUGGCGAAGGCGACUCUCUGGUCUGUAACUGACGCUGAGGCUCGAAAGCGUGGGGAGCAAACAGGAUUAGAUACCCUGGUAGUCCACGCCGUAAACGAUGAGUGCUAAGUGUUGGAGGGUUUCCGCCCUUCAGUGCUGCAGCUAACGCAUUAAGCACUCCGCCUGGGGAGUACGACCGCAAGGUUGAAACUCAAAGGAAUUGACGGGGGCCCGCACAAGCGGUGGAGCAUGUGGUUUAAUUCGAAGCAACGCGAAGAACCUUACCAGGUCUUGACAUCCUUUGACCACUCUAGAGAUAGAGCUUCCCCUUCGGGGGCAAAGUGACAGGUGGUGCAUGGUUGUCGUCAGCUCGUGUCGUGAGAUGUUGGGUUAAGUCCCGCAACGAGCGCAACCCUUAUUGUUAGUUGCCAUCAUUUAGUUGGGCACUCUAGCAAGACUGCCGGUGACAAACCGGAGGAAGGUGGGGAUGACGUCAAAUCAUCAUGCCCCUUAUGACCUGGGCUACACACGUGCUACAAUGGGAAGUACAACGAGUCGCGAAGUCGCGAGGCUAAGCUAAUCUCUUAAAGCUUCUCUCAGUUCGGAUUGUAGGCUGCAACUCGCCUACAUGAAGCCGGAAUCGCUAGUAAUCGCGGAUCAGCACGCCGCGGUGAAUACGUUCCCGGGCCUUGUACACACCGCCCGUCACACCACGAAAGUUUGUAACACCCGAAGUCGGUGAGGU
Molecule: ribosomal RNA, 1405 nt
Filed under: Enterococcus faecium
Lineage: Bacteria; Bacillati; Bacillota; Bacilli; Lactobacillales; Enterococcaceae
Description: bacterial SSU rRNA
Rfam family: Bacterial small subunit ribosomal RNA
Source: RNAcentral